GCUGCCUCCUCUUUCCUAGCGCGGUGACGGUAGCUGCCAGAAGCGAAAGCAAAGUACCUAUAACUACAACAUGCCAGAGUCACGUGCCGAGUGUUGCCCGCUGCAUGAGGAAGGGUCAUUGGUUUGGUUGCGGUCACAUGGAGUGAAAAACGCUGACAAUGAUACAGGUUGAUCGUCCCAAUCGCCAUGUUGAGCCAAGAGUGCUGGCAUAAUACAGGGAGGAUGCGCUUGUGGUUACAUUGGUGUCUGUUGUAACACAGCUCCACGUUCAGGUUCAUCGCUGUGAUCUUCAUGUUGAGUGAAGAGUGCUGACAUCAUACAGACAAUGUGAACUGCCACCGCUGGAUUGCUGGAUACUUCUUGCUGGGGUUUUAUUCAAGCAGGAUGUCAGCAAUUGAGGACUUCAAUGGCAGUUUUCUCUAGUGCAAAGUGAAGAUGAAUAUGGAGUGCGACUAGAUUUUAUGAAACCAAUGUGGAGCUGGAUGUUGCCCGGGCUAAAGGCGACCUUUUGAAGCUACUUCCUCUAUGACAUGGCAAUAGAUGAGAAUGGCUGUAAAUGGAUUGACAAACUUUGUAUCGUAUCUGUAUCGGACCGUCGUGGUGAAGAGGGAGCUGAGUCGCAAGACGAAGCUCUCGAUUUACCGAUCGGCUUCCUUGCUCCGAAUGCUGCCUCCGCGACCCGACCCCGGAUAAGCGACAGAAGAAAGUGAAGGUGUGAUUCAAAGACACCAUCAGAGCUGUUUUUGAUGACCUGUUCUGAUGUAUUGUGUAUUAGAUGUAUUAUAAGAAACUGGAAAAGCAUGAUGCACUGGCUGCAGUUGUUUCAAGAGCCUUUCAUGUGAUCUUUGUAACGCGGCUUCUGUGGGAAAUUAAAGUAGGUUCAU
Long non-coding RNA from Synchiropus splendidus (mandarinfish), 884 nucleotides. RefSeq lists it as uncharacterized. The transcript has 8 exons. The record is from RefSeq and is a predicted model, not a curated record. Lineage: Eukaryota; Metazoa; Chordata; Actinopteri; Syngnathiformes; Callionymidae.